UAUCUCAUUUCUGAAGGCUUCCCAUUUUCCAGCCUGAUGUCUCCCCUUUUUUUUGCUUUGCAGACUUCCAAAAUCUGUGUACCGCAAAGACGUCCUAAACCGAAAGCUGGGAAUAGCUUCAUCACGCCAAUCGAUCGGCAUGCAAUCUCCAGCAGCGUGGAACCUCCAACCUAAGAUUAGAGGGAAUGGUCUUAACAGCUCACCGCUACCUGGCAAGAACAGCUCACCGCUACAGAGCAAGCUAGUGUCAUACUGCUACAAAUGCACAUGAAGGGACCAGAUAUCUAAAACUCUGACCUCAUUUCCACUAGCCACCAAGGGAAUGGCAGCUCACAACUCAACUUGCACACCAACCAAUGUCAGUCCUGCCAUUUUCCUGCCUAGCUCAGUCAUGUAUGCAACUUAGUUUAUCAAUUUCUGUAUUUUGAAGCUUGAGUGACCCACAUCUGAUUAGCAUGUGUUUUGAACCAUAUGUGAAAACAUCUGGAAUCGAUACAUAUUGAUUGGGCCCAUGAAGAGUUGACAAGUAGAACCUAGCCGAACAGCCAUGUACAGAACUGGGCUGACUUCCUCAUCAAUGAGGCUGAAUUUCAAAGGGUGAUAGAUCCUCACUUCCCCGAGCAAGUAAGUGAGAGAACGAGUGUGUCCCUGCUCCAAAGGCUGGCCCGAGAGGCAUUUGAUGCUCAGAGAGAUGUUAAUUGCUUCAAGAAGACACCUCCACUCACAGCUGGGCAUCCCCGCUCUAAGAGUUUCCAGUCAGUCAAAUGGUCAGCAGCUUUCCCUUCCC
This is a non-coding RNA of Chiloscyllium plagiosum (whitespotted bambooshark), 787 nucleotides long. The record is from RefSeq and is a predicted model, not a curated record. NCBI's taxonomy places the organism in Eukaryota, Metazoa, Chordata, Chondrichthyes, Orectolobiformes, Hemiscylliidae.